Lineus longissimus is the source of this 2759-nucleotide long non-coding RNA. RefSeq lists it as uncharacterized. NCBI's taxonomy places the organism in Eukaryota, Metazoa, Nemertea, Pilidiophora, Heteronemertea, Lineidae. The record is from RefSeq and is a predicted model, not a curated record. The transcript is spliced from 2 exons.
ACAAGCGCCUAGUUUUGGUAGAGCGAGUCACAUCUUUGAACAAGGUUUUCUCUGAUUUGAAUUUUAGAAAGUGAUGUUUUCCCCAAGUCAGUAUCUCUGUCAAUUCUUAGACUUUUUAUCUGACAAGCCUGUGGCAAGCCUGCAUGUAUGUUAAAUUAAAAAUUAAAUUAAAUUACCAUAUUUUAUAGUGCCCUAUACAGGUAAAACGAGCUCUAAGGCACUUUACAUUGGUAUAACACUGGUGUAAAAGAUAAGAAAUUUAAAACAAUGGUAAUGAAGAGAAAUAUAAAAACUAAGACUUUACCCAUUUAAAAAAUAUUUGGAAAAUAAAUGAGUUUUGAUGGCCCGCUUAAAGUCACUGUUCCUCAUUUAAUGUAUCUGUUAUCAAGAUGAGUUGGUAGAUUACGUCAGUGAGUUUUUUUAUCUGUUUUUGUCUGAAUAUAUUAUGUAUUAUCAAAAUAGAUCACAUUUAUUAGUUCAUUUUAAAUCUAUCACAUCUACAAUGAUUAGUCCUGGUGAGAAGAGCUCUUUAAGCUGGGCAACCUGGAAAGGUGCUAUACAAAAUAUUUUAUUUUGUAUAUACAAUAUAUUUCAUAUCGUAUUGUAUUAUAUUGUAUGUACCAAGUCUACUGGAAUGAUGAAAAAUAUGAUUAUUAUUUGGUCAAAUAAACUAUACAAAAUAUUAUAUUUUGUAUAUACAAUAUAUUUCAUAUUGUAUUGUAUUGUAUUGUAUGUACCAAGUCUACUGGAAUGAUGAAAAAUAUGAUUAUUAUUUUGUCAAAUAAACUAUACAAAAUAUUUUAUUUUGUAUAUACAAUAUAAUUCAUAUUGUAUUGUAUUAUAUUGUAUGUACCAAGUCUACUGGAAUGAUGAAAAAUAUGAUUAUUAUUUGGUCAAAUAAACUAUACAAAAUAUUAUAUUUUGUAUAUACAAUAUAUUUCAUAUUGUAUUGUAUUGUAUGUACAAAGUCUACUGGAAUGAUGAAAAAUGUGAUUAUUAUUUGGUCAAAUAAACUAAAGAUUGUCAAAAGAAAUCAUGUUUAUAGAAUUUUUUUCGUUAUAUCAUAUUUAUACUUCAUGUAGGAUGAAGUGUAAAAUUAAGAAGUUUCUGAUGAUUAUAACAUAAAUGUCAAAAAAGACUAUGCAAAGUCAAAAGUAAUCAGAUUUACUUGAAAAAUUUUUAUCAUGUAAAUAUUCACUUUUAUGAUUGUAAAUUAUAUGAUGUUAUCAUUGUUUAUUAUUUUAUCAAAAUUGAUUAUGUAAGGAAAAGUGGGACAAUUAUAACCUCAGUAUGAUUAUAUCCCAUACAGUGUGGAAACCAGCUUGCAGCACAUAUCAAUGUACAUGGGUGCUAUAAUAGGACCUUGGCUAUAAUUGUAGAACCUUGCCUUACCUUGUCAGAAGAAAUCUACUUUAUCUGUAUCAUUUUAUCAUAUCUUGAUUGUGAUCUCGAAAUUUAAUCAAAAUUACAUCAAAACCUGUGAUUAUAACAUGUAUAAUAGGAAAAGUAGAUUAUUUAGGAAAAGUAGAUUACAUGUAUAUAGAAAAGUAGAUCAUGCAUGUUAUAAUAGAAAAAAGUAGAUUAUACAUGUUAUAAUAGAAAAGUAGUCAAAGAUUUUAGGACUGUAGUGAAUGUAGAUAUUGAGGGGGGGUCACUCCAACAUGUCCAAAUGAAUUGUGCAGAGCAUUCUUGUACCAAAACGUGUGUGAUGGGUUUUUGCUGAUGUCAAGGCAAAGCACGUGUGACAGCUAGGUCCUUGUGUUUCCAUCAAGCCGUGUAGUGAGACCAGAGGAAUCCUUAAACAUGUUAAAAAGAUACCUUCCCUCCGUCAUAUGCUACAUAUUUUCAAUAAGCUUUUUCCUCAAAUACUAAACUCUGUAAUUAUUUCCUCAAACCCGCAGUUGCAAGGGGGCAGUAGAAUCUCUUUUAUGAGGACCCCCUUGAGAACAGACACAUGCUGUCCUUAAUCAUGUUAAUUGGAAAGUGUCCUGAUUACAGGUUUAAAGUUAUAUGGAAAUCACCCGUCUGGGACCAAAAUUAAAAUCGCUGUCCUUUAUAGAGAGUGUGUCCUGGUUACAGAGGUUCCACUCUACAUAAAUACCAAAAGGGGGCUGUGUAUUACAGUAUGAUACUAAGAGAGGGGUCAUGCCAAUAAAAGGGGGUAGGGAUUGAAAAAUACCCCCCCCCGGAGUACAAGGUUGCUCAAGACAUGUGGUAAACUGACCCCCUGUGUGUAGAUGUUAGUAUAUACAGUAGAACCUCUCUAUUAAGGACACCCUUGGGAUUGGCAAGUGCUGUCCUUAAUAGAGAGGUGUCCAGAUUAGAGAGGUCAAAUUGAAUUGAAACAACAACUUUGGGACCAAAUCUAUUGUCCUUCAUAGAGAGAUUGUCCUUCAGAGAGAGAUUGUCCUUAAUAGUGAGGUGUCCACUAAGGGAGGUUCCACUGUAUAUUGAAAAAACAUAUAUGUACAGCUUUUACCAUUGCCUUAUGCUUUGGUGGUGAACUUCCUGGUGAGACCUAAAAAUGCCUUACCUCUGGGGCUGUGCAUGUUAUUUCCCCUUGAUAAUGUGAUUAGAUCAAUAAAAUGAAAGAAAAGUGAUGCAUGCUAAUUAUGGUUUUAGGGAAACAUAGCGUCUAGAUCUUAGAAAAUAUCAAACUGCACAAAGAAAUUGUCAAAACGUGAAUAAUUAUUAUAUGACUUUAUUGGAUUUCUUAUGUAUCAGAUUUCUAAUUUUACAAAUAAAACGAUUAAACUAGA